AGGAUAUUGGAGCGCCAGUUUAUUUCGACCAACUUGCCUUUGUUUCAAACAACCUUACACACGCGUCACCAUGAAGAUACUGUUGGUUUUGCUGGUGCUGCUGCCCCUUGCGUUCUCUACCCACGUCGACAAAAGAUUGCUAGACUUUUUUCCAGAUCCAGAUGAUUUUCGGCAUUUGUGUAACUUAUUGGGGGAUGAUGCAACGAAAGCCACUCAAGCCACGUGUUUAACCCAAUGCCAUAGCAAACUGCCAUUUCCUUCUGGAUUUUAUUGUGAUUUAUUGUGCAGAGGGAUUGUGACUGGAACGCACAAGUGCUAAAUGAAGACGCUGCAUUUACUGAAAAUAUAAUAGAAGAAAUAAAACAAUCAAAGGAGAUCCA
Molecule: long non-coding RNA, 380 nt
Organism: Mya arenaria
Lineage: Eukaryota; Metazoa; Mollusca; Bivalvia; Myida; Myidae
Exons: 4
Source: RefSeq, a predicted model, not a curated record